CAGUAGCAGGCGUACUGUCUAGGGGACGGCUGCUCCAUUUGUGCACCCUGCUCUAGGAGGAGGAGGUGGAUGUGGAGUAGGAAGUUGAGGAGGUGGUGACCGUGGCGGCAACAGCGCAUUCGGAUAUCUGCAAUUUCAACUUUUGAUGUUACUUUCUGUGCCUACCAUGUUGACCACGGGUAACGGGGAAUCAGGGUUCAAUUCCGGAGAGGGAGUCUGAGAAACGGCUAACACAUCCAAGGAAGGUAGCAGGCGUGCAAAUUACCCACUCCCGACACGUGGAGGUAGUGA
Pelobates cultripes (western spadefoot toad) is the source of this 291-nucleotide non-coding RNA. Lineage: Eukaryota; Metazoa; Chordata; Amphibia; Anura; Pelobatidae. The record is from the annotation of a GenBank genome assembly.